This 739-nucleotide ribosomal RNA is filed under the name uncultured archaeon. RNAcentral describes it as "bacterial SSU rRNA". It matches the Rfam family "Archaeal small subunit ribosomal RNA", at positions 62 to 811 of the family's 1478-position model. The record is from RNAcentral.
UUGUAGCAUACAAGGCAUACGGCUCAGUAACGCGUAGUCAACCUAACCUAUGGACGGGAAUAACCUCGGGAAACUGAGAAUAAUGCCCGAUAGAACACUAUACCUGGAAUGGUUUGUGUUCCAAAUGAUUUAUCGCCAUAGGAUGGGACUGCGGCCUAUCAGUUUGUUGGUGAGGUAAUGGCCCACCAAGACUAUUACAGGUACGGGCUCUGAGAGGAGUAGCCCGGAGAUGGGUACUGAGACACGGACCCAGGCCCUAUGGGGCGCAGCAGGCGAGAAAACUUUGCAAUGUGCGAAAGCACGACAAGGUUAAUCCGAGUGAUUUGUGCUAAACGAAUCUUUUGUUAGUCCUAGAAACACUAACGAAUAAGGGGUGGGCAAGUUCUGGUGUCAGCCGCCGCGGUAAAACCAGCACCUCAAGUGGUCAGGAUGAUUAUUGGGCCUAAAGCAUCCGUAGCCGGCUCUGUAAGUUUUCGGUUAAAUCUGUACGCUUAACGUACAGGCUGCCGGGAAUACUGCAGAGCUAGGGAGUGGGAGAGGUAGACGGUACUCGGUAGGAAGUGGUAAAAUGCUUUGAUCUAUCGAUGACCACCUGUGGCGAAGGCGGUCUACCAGAACACGUCCGACGGUGAGGGAUGAAGCUGGGGGGAGCAACCGGAUUAGAUACCCGGUAGUCCCAGCUGUAAACUAUGCCAAGCUCAGUUGAUGCAAUUGGCUUGUGUCCAAUGCAGUUGCCUUG